This 609-nucleotide ribosomal RNA is filed under the name uncultured beta proteobacterium. RNAcentral describes it as "bacterial SSU rRNA". It matches the Rfam family "Bacterial small subunit ribosomal RNA", at positions 9 to 872 of the family's 1533-position model. Lineage: Bacteria; Pseudomonadati; Pseudomonadota; Betaproteobacteria. The record is from RNAcentral.
GGGUUUGAUCCUGGCUCAGAUUGAACGCUGGCGGCAUGCCUUACACAUGCAAGUCGAACGGUAACAGGUCUUCGGAUGCUGACGAGUGGCGAACGGGUGAGUAAUACAUCGGAACGUGCCCGNUCGUGGGGGAUAACGCAGCGAAAGCUGUGCUAAUACCGCAUACGAUCUACGGAUGAAAGCGGGGGAUCGCAAGACCUCGCGCGGACGGAGCGGCCGAUGGCAGAUUAGGUAGUUGGUGGGAUAAAAGCUUACCAAGCCGACGAUCUGUAGCUGGUCUGAUCGGAAUUACUGGGCGUAAAGCGUGCGCAGGCGGUUAUAUAAGACAGAUGUGAAAUCCCCGGGCUCAACCUGGGAACUGCAUUAGUGACUGUAUAGCUAGAGUGCGGCAGAGGGGGAUGGAAUUCCGCGUGUAGCAGUGAAAUGCGUAGAUAUGCGGAGGAACACCGAUGGCGAAGGCAAUCCCCUGGGCCUGCACUGACGCUCAUGCACGAAAGCGUGGGGAGCAAACAGGAUUAGAUACCCUGGUAGUCCACGCCCUAAACGAUGUCAACUGGUUGUUGGGUCUUCACUGACUCAGUAACGAAGCUAACGCGUGAAGUUGACCGC